Molecule: ribosomal RNA, 484 nt
Filed under: uncultured bacterium
Lineage: Bacteria
Description: partial 16S ribosomal RNA
Rfam family: Bacterial small subunit ribosomal RNA
Source: RNAcentral
AUUGAACGCUGGCGGCAUGCCUUACACAUGCAAGUCGAACGGCAGCACGGGCUUCGGCCUGGUGGCGAGUGGCGAACGGGUGAGUAAUAUAUCCGAACGUACCCAGCAGUGGGGGAUAACGUAGCGAAAGUUACGCUAAUACCGCAUACGAUCUUUGGAUGAAAGCAGUGGUCCGCAAGGCCUUGUGCUCCUUGAGCGGCCGAUAACUGAUUAGCUAGUUGGUGAGGUAAAGGCUCACCAAGGCGACGAUCAGUAGCUGGUCUGAGAGGACGACCAGCCACACUGGAACUGAGACACGGUCCAGACUCCUACGGGAGGCAGCAGUGGGGAAUUUUGGACAAUGGGCGAAAGCCUGAUCCAGCAAUGCCGCGUGAGUGAAGAAGGCCUUCGGGUUGUAAAGCUCUUUUGUCAGGGAAGAAACGGUGGAGGCUAAUAUGCGUUGAUAAUGACGGUACCUGAAGAAUAAGCACCGGCUAACUACGUG